UAAGGAAUACUCAAAGUGUAUUUAUAUGUACUGAUAUGGAAAUUUUGUUAAAAUAUAUUGAGAAAUGGGAUAGAAAGCAAGUUGCAGAUAUGCAUAUAUACUAAGAUUUCAUUAUAUAAAAGGGGCAUAUAUACAUUUAUUUAUAGUCUCAAAACUAUUUUUUUACAAUUAGUUUAUAUGAAUCAGGAUGCAAAGCAGCUCCAUAAAUCCCUAAUAUAAAAAUUAUUUUGCUAGUGAUUCUUAC
Molecule: long non-coding RNA, 244 nt
Filed under: Pan troglodytes (chimpanzee)
Lineage: Eukaryota; Metazoa; Chordata; Mammalia; Primates; Hominidae
Description: long non-coding RNA NONPTRT011361
Source: RNAcentral